RNAcentral lists this ribosomal RNA (477 nucleotides) under uncultured bacterium. RNAcentral describes it as "partial 16S ribosomal RNA". It matches the Rfam family "Bacterial small subunit ribosomal RNA", at positions 29 to 523 of the family's 1533-position model. The record is from RNAcentral.
AAUCAACGCUGGCGGCGUGCCUAACACAUGCAAGUCGAACGAGAAAGUGGAGCAAUCCAUGAGUACAGUGGCGAACGGGUGAGUAACACGUGACUAACCUACCUUCCAGUGGGGAUAACCUCGGGAAACCGGGGCUAAGACCGCAUAACCUCGUGAGGUGAGAUUCCUUGCGAGCAAAGGGGUAAGACGCUGGAUGAGGGGGUCGCGGCCGAUUAGCUAGUUGGCGGGGUAACGGCCCAACAAGGCGAUGAUCGGUAGCCGGCCUGAGAGGGCGCACGGCCACACUGGAGCUGUAACACGGUCCAGACGCCUACGGGAGGCAGCAGUGGGGAAUUUUGCACAAUGGGGGAAGCCCUGAUGCAGCAACGCCGCGUGGAGGAUGAAGUCCCUUGGGACGUAAACUCCUUUCGACCGGGACGAUAAUGACGGUACCGGUGGAAGAAGCCCCGGCUAACUCCGUGCCAGCCGCCGCCGUAA